AACGCACCUUGCGCUCCUUGGUAUUCCGAGGAGCAUGCCUGUUUGAGUGUCAUUAAAUUCUCAACCUUUAUCAGCUUUUGUUGAUACUGGCUUGGAUAUGGGGGUCUAUUUUGCUGGCUUCUUUACAGAUGGUCAGCUCCCCUUAAAUGCAUUAGCCGGUGCCCCGCGUGGACUGUCUAUUGGUGUGAUAAUUAUCUACGCCGUGGAUAUCUGCAAUCAUAUGGGUUUGCACUGCUUCCAACCGUCUGUUCAUUCGGACAAUACUUGACAAUUUGACCUCAAAUCAGGUAGGACUACCCGCUGAACUUAA
Molecule: unclassified non-coding RNA, 310 nt
Filed under: uncultured Hebeloma
Lineage: Eukaryota; Fungi; Basidiomycota; Agaricomycetes; Agaricales; Cortinariaceae
Description: sequence contains ITS2
Rfam family: 5.8S ribosomal RNA (bases 1-52)
Source: RNAcentral